AUUGAACGCUGGCGGCAGGCCUAACACAUGCAAGUCGAACGGAGCGGCGGAAGGGUAAGUACUGACUAGGAAUCUGCCCGUGAGUAGGGGAUAACGUCAGGAAACGGGCGCUAAUACCGCAACCUCUCAGGUGAGCAUAGGUCGGAUUAGCUAGUUGGUGGGGUAAAGGCCUACCAAGGCGACGAUCCGUAGCUGGUCUGAGAGGAUGAUCAGUCACACGGGGACUGAGACACGGCCCAGACUCCUACGGGAGGAAGCAGUGGGGAAUAUUGGACAAUGGGCGAAAGCCUGAUCCAGCCAUGCCGCGUGUUUGAAGAAGGUCUUCGGAUUGUAAAGCACUUUUGGUUGGGAAGCGUUACCAACAGAAUAAGCACCGGCUAACUUCGUGCCAGUAGCCGCGGUAAUAC
Molecule: ribosomal RNA, 407 nt
Filed under: uncultured bacterium
Lineage: Bacteria
Description: partial 16S ribosomal RNA
Rfam family: Bacterial small subunit ribosomal RNA
Source: RNAcentral